UGAUCUCCUCAGAGGGUGUUUGUGCUCAGUGCAGUUAUACUCCAGUGUGGCUUGCAAAUCUGGGUAAUGGUGUUUCAAUGUCAGCACCAAGUUCUCAUGGAAGAAAUCCUUGGGAUCUGCCUCUGGAAUCCACAGCUCAGUAGUCCAUCCCAUCCUUGCAUUAGCAGACUGUGGUGGAGGUGGAUCUUGCAUCUCCUCAUCUUCAGGCACUUCCUCCUGAGCUUCCACCCUUGAUUCCUCAUCUUCCAGCUCAGGAACUCCAUUCACAUGCUGUCCUCCUAGGUUGAACAUGGCACGGUACUCCUCAGCAGCCAUGCGUGCAGCACUACGGGUGCGGGGCGGCAUCUACAAAAAGUUUUUAGACAUAGAUCAGAUGGAUGCAAUAAUUUCACAAUAGAGCAAGAUAGAGAAGCAUAAACUUUUAACAAAUACAAGACCAUAGUGGGAAGCAUGAAGUAAGUAAAAUAAGGACCUAAAUUCUCGACCAUUUGCUAACUAGGUUUGCGUCCUACAGUCAACAAAGCUUUGAUACCAAUUUGUCACACCCAUAUUUUAAGAACAAAAUAGGAUGCAUAAAAGACUCAUAUGUGCCCCAGGAAUAGUCGCACACAUAAGUAGACAAAUCUCAAUGUACCAUUGCAGUGUUUAUUACAUAGCGAAACAUAAUAAAUCACAUAGUCUCAUACAAAAAUGAUAGCAUAGAGUAAACAACGCUCUCGACGGAAGCUCCACACAGGGACACUGUUGACUGGUUGACUCCAAACCUAGUACUCGUAACGAUAAUCUUCAUUCCAGUCAUCUUCGUUAUCAUAUCCUGAGGUGUUGGGAAAUUGCAAGAGUGAGCACAUAUCGUACUCAACAAGUAUAACCAGGGGUUCAUGAGGCUCAAAUAGCUGACACUGGUUUGACUGCAUUUAGCUUUUAAUGGUGGAUAGCAUGUUCAUAAUUAAUGAGCAAUUGUCAAGGUAACAUAAAUAUUCCUUUAAUUCCAUGAUCAAGUGUAAGCAUAAUUAAUUCAUAGCAUAAACGAUAAUCAAAUGAACCUAACAACUUAACAAGCUCAUCGUCGUCGCAGCAAGAACCCCCAAGGCCGCUCAUAACCGUGAGCACGGCUAGUAUACCAGUUUUACACUCUGCAGAGGUUGUUCAUCUUUACCCAUGAGUCAUGAUUUACCCUUUCACCCGAGGUAGCUAAUCUCUUAACCCCCUUCCUAGGGAGGUCGGCAGGGAUCACUAUGAAGCCUUUCAAAAGUUCGUCUAACAUGUUAGGGCCGCAAGGUUUCCUUUGCGAGCAGAUAUAGAUACCCCCCUUCCGAAUGGCACAAUGACGCGCAGCCUAUACACAUAGGGACAGGGGCUCGCACUAUACCCGUGUCGGUUCA
Molecule: long non-coding RNA, 1382 nt
Filed under: Sorghum bicolor (sorghum)
Lineage: Eukaryota; Viridiplantae; Streptophyta; Magnoliopsida; Poales; Poaceae
Description: long non-coding RNA (SBIC_LNC015195)
Source: RNAcentral